GACGAACGCUGGCGGCGCGCUUAACACAUGCAAGUCGAACGGAAAGGCCUGCUUUCCCUUGUGGAUUGCGGGUACUCGAGUGGCGAACGGGUGAGUAACACGUGAGUGAUCUGCCCCCAACUUGGGUAUAAGCCUGGGAAACUGGGUCUAAUUCCCGAUAGGACUGCAGGGUGGUGCCUGUGGUGGAAAACGAUUUUCUAGUGGUUGGGGAUGAGCUCGCGGCCUAUCAGCUUGUUGGUGGGGUAAUGGCCUACCAAGGCGGCGACGGGUAGCCGGCCUGAGAGGGUGGACGGCCACAUUGGGACUGAGAUACGGCCCAGAAUCCUACGGGAGGCAGCAGUGGGGAAUAAUGCACAAUGGGCGGAAGCCUGAUGCAGCGACGCCGCGUGGGGGAUGACGGCCUUCGGGUUGUAAACUCCUUUCGACCGCGAGGAAGCCACCUGGUUGGAAGGGUGGUGACGGUAGUGGGAGAAGAAGCACCGGCUAACUACGUG
This 494-nucleotide ribosomal RNA is filed under the name uncultured bacterium. RNAcentral's name for it is "partial 16S ribosomal RNA". It matches the Rfam family "Bacterial small subunit ribosomal RNA", at positions 28 to 507 of the family's 1533-position model. The record is from RNAcentral.